This 484-nucleotide ribosomal RNA is filed under the name uncultured bacterium. Its description in RNAcentral is "partial 16S ribosomal RNA". It matches the Rfam family "Bacterial small subunit ribosomal RNA", at positions 29 to 523 of the family's 1533-position model. The record is from RNAcentral.
AGUGAACGCUGGCGGCGUGCUUAACACAUGCAAGUCGAACGAGAACGGAUUAUAGCUUGCUAUAAUUGUCAGCUAAGUGGCGCACGGGUGAGUAAUGUAUAGGUAAUAUGCCUCUUACUGAGGGAUAACAAAUGGAAACGUUUGCUAAUACCUUAUACUCCUUAUUAACAGAAGUUAAUAAGGGAAAGAUUUAUUGGUAAGAGAUUAGCCUGUAUUGUAUCAGUUAGUUGGUGGGGUAAUGGCUUACCAAGACUAUGACACAUAACUGGUUUGAGAGGAUGAUCAGUCACACUGGAACUGAGACACGGUCCAGACUCCUACGGGAGGCAGCAGUGGGGAAUAUUGCACAAUGGACGAAAGUCUGAUGCAGCAACGCCGCGUGGAGGAUGACACAUUUCGGUGCGUAAACUCCUUUUAUAUGAGAAGAUAAUGACGGUAUUAUAUGAAUAAGCACCGGCUAACUCCGUGCCAGCAGCCGCAGUAA